Molecule: long non-coding RNA, 303 nt
Filed under: Pan troglodytes (chimpanzee)
Lineage: Eukaryota; Metazoa; Chordata; Mammalia; Primates; Hominidae
Description: long non-coding RNA NONPTRT015208
Source: RNAcentral
UUUUUUUUUUUGAGAUAGAGUUUUGCUCUUGUUGCUCAGGCUGCAGUGCAAUGGUGCGAUCUUUGCUCACUGCAACCUCCGCCUCCCAGGUUCAAGUGAUUCUCCUGCCUUGGCCUCCCAAGUAGCUGGGAUUACAGGCAUGCGCCACCAUGCCCAGCUAAUUCAUUUUGGCCCUCAAUUUUUUCAUUCUUAGGUGACACUGAAUUCUCAAUUAAAAUUUCUCAGAAUGUACAGCAAGAUUACAAAUUUAACUUCCAGAGCAAUUUUUCCCAAAUAUCUCAGUUUUAAACAUUAGUGCCCAUA